GACGAACGCUGGCGGCGUGCUUAACACAUGCAAGUCGAACGAUGAAAGAGAAUCCGAUCUCUUCGGAGUGAAGAAUUUCUGGAUUAGUGGCGGACGGGUGAGUAACGCGUGAGCAAUCUGCCUUACACAAAGGGAUAGCCUCGGGAAACCGGGAUUAAUACCAUAUGAUAUCUCAACUUCGCAUGAAGAUGAGAUUAAAGAAUUUCGGUGUAAGAUGAGCUCGCGUCCCAUUAAUUAGUUGGUGAGGGUAACGGCCCACCAAGAUAGCGAUGGGUAGCCGAUCUAAGAGGAUGACCGGCCACAUUGGAACUGAGAAACGGUCCAAACUCCUACGGGAGGCAGCAGUGGGGAAUAUUGCACAAUGGGGGAAACCCUGAUGCAGCGACGCCGCGUGAGCGAUGAAGGCUUUCGAGUCGUAAAGCUCUGUCCUAUGGGAAGAUAAUGACGGUACCAUAGAAGAAAGCCCCGGCUAAUUACGUGCCAGCCGCCGCGGUAA
This 496-nucleotide ribosomal RNA is filed under the name uncultured Eubacteriales bacterium. RNAcentral describes it as "bacterial SSU rRNA". It matches the Rfam family "Bacterial small subunit ribosomal RNA", at positions 28 to 523 of the family's 1533-position model. The record is from RNAcentral. Lineage: Bacteria; Bacillati; Bacillota; Clostridia; Eubacteriales.